GACGUAGGGGGCUAGCGUUGUCCGGAAUCAUUGGGCGUAAAGAGCGUGUAGGCGGCCCGGUAAGUCCGCUGUAAAAGUCAAAGGCUCAACCUUUGAAUGUCAGUGGAUACUGCCGGGCUAGAGUCCGGAAGAGGCGAGUGGAACUCCUGGUGUAGCGGUGGAAUGCGCAGAUAUCAGGAAGAACACCAACGGCGAAGGCAGCUCGCUGGGACGGUACUGACGCUGAGACGCGAAAGCGUGGGGAGCGAACAGG
Molecule: ribosomal RNA, 253 nt
Filed under: uncultured bacterium
Lineage: Bacteria
Description: partial 16S ribosomal RNA
Rfam family: Bacterial small subunit ribosomal RNA
Source: RNAcentral